GACGAACGCUGGCGGCGUGCUUAACACAUGCAAGUCGAACGAUAAGGCCCCUUCGUGGGUACACGAGUGGCGACCGGGUGAGUAACACGUGAGCAACCUGCCCUUGACUCUGGAAUAACAGUUGGAAACAGCUGCUAAUACUGGAUAUUCAUCGUCUCCUUCCUGGGGUGUGGUGGAAAGCUCCGGCGGUCAGGGUUGGGCUCGCGGCCUAUCAGCUUGUUGGUUAGGUAAUGGUUGACCAAGGCUUCGACGGGUAGCCGGCCGCAGAGGGGGACCGGCCACACUGGGACUGAGAGACGGCCCAGAAUCCAACGGGAGGCAGCAGGGGGGAACAUUGCAGAAUGGGCGCAAGCCUGAUGCAGAAACGCCGCGUGCGGGAUGACGGCCUUCGGGUUGUAAACAGAUUUCAGUGGGGACGAAGGGUGACUGACGGUACCUACAGAAGAAGGACCGGCUAACUACGUG
RNAcentral lists this ribosomal RNA (465 nucleotides) under uncultured bacterium. Its description in RNAcentral is "partial 16S ribosomal RNA". It matches the Rfam family "Bacterial small subunit ribosomal RNA", at positions 28 to 507 of the family's 1533-position model. The record is from RNAcentral.